CUCAAAUUUGAAAUCUGGUACCUUCGGUGCCCGAGUUGUAAUUUGGAGAGGGCAACUUUGGGGCCGUUCCUUGUCUAUGUUCCUUGGAACAGGACGUCAUAGAGGGUGAGAAUCCCGUGUGGCGAGGAGUGCGGUUCUUUGUAAAGUGCCUUCGAAGAGUCGAGUUGUUUGGGAAUGCAGCUCUAAGUGGGUGGUAAAUUCCAUCUAAAGCUAAAUAUUGGCGAGAGACCGAUAGCGAACAAGUACAGUGAUGGAAAGAUGAAAAGAACUUUGAAAAGAGAGUGAAAAAGUACGUGAAAUUGUUGAAAGGGAAGGGCAUUUGAUCAGACAUGGUGUUUUGUGCCCUCUGCUCCUUGUGGGUAGGGGAAUCUCGCAUUUCACUGGGCCAGCAUCAGUUUUGGUGGCAGGAUAAAUCCAUAGGAAUGUAGCUUGCCUCGGUAAGUAUUAUAGCCUGUGGGAAUACUGCCAGCUGGGACUGAGGACUGCGACGUAAGUCAAGGAUGCUGGCAUAAUGGUUAUAUGCCGCCCG
This 529-nucleotide ribosomal RNA is filed under the name Saccharomyces cerevisiae (brewer's yeast). RNAcentral's name for it is "partial large subunit ribosomal RNA". It matches the Rfam family "Eukaryotic large subunit ribosomal RNA", at positions 108 to 651 of the family's 3401-position model. The record is from RNAcentral. Lineage: Eukaryota; Fungi; Ascomycota; Saccharomycetes; Saccharomycetales; Saccharomycetaceae.